Molecule: ribosomal RNA, 755 nt
Filed under: uncultured bacterium
Lineage: Bacteria
Description: bacterial SSU rRNA
Rfam family: Bacterial small subunit ribosomal RNA
Source: RNAcentral
AGUCGAACGCGAAAGUUCCUUUCGGGGAGCGAGUAGAGUGGCGCACGGGUGAGUAACACGUAGGUAAUCUACCUUUGGAUUGGGAAUAACCACCGGAAACGGUGGCUAAUACCGAAUAAUGCAGCGGCACCUAAUGGUGACAGUUGUUAAAGCGGGGGAUCGCAAGACCUCGCGUCUAAAGAGGAGCCUGCGGCGGAUUAGCUAGUUGGUAAGGUAACGGCUUACCAAGGCGAUGAUCCGUAGCCGGCCUGAGAGGGCGGUCGGCCACACUGACACUGACAUACGGGUCAGACUCCUACGGGAGGCAGCAGUCGGGAAUUUUGGGCAAUGGGCGAAAGCCUGACCCAGCAACGCCGCGUGAAGGAUGAAAUCCCUCGGGAUGUAAACUUCGCAAGAACGGGAAGAAUAAGUCGGUGCCAACACCAUCGACGAUGACGGUACUGUUUGUAAGCUCCGGCUAACUCCGUGCCAGCAGCCGCGGUAAUACGGGGGGAGCAAGCGUUGUUCGGAUUUACUGGGCGUAAAGGGCGUGUAGGCGGCCACCGCAAGUCGACUGUGAAAUCUCCGGGCUUAACUCGGAAAGGUCAGCCGAUACUGCGGGGCUAGAGUGCAGAAGGGGCAACUGGAAUUCUCGGUGUAGCGGUGAAAUGCGUAGAUAUCGAGAGGAACACCUGCGGCGAAGGCGGGUUGCUGGGCUGACACUGACGCUGAAACGCGAAAGCUAGGGGAGCGAACGGGAUUAGAUACCCCGGUAG